UAAGGUUGUAUUUCUGAGGGGAGCAUGUCUAUUACCUUGAUUGAGUUGACUUUUGGCUAUUGUAUUAUUGUUACAACUUACCAGCGAAAUAGAAAGAGAGACAUGUCUGAAAAGGAUGCAGGCAGAUGGGGCAAUGCACCCAUGAGCUCGCCACUAUGCUUAUAACUAGCUUGUUCAAUUUCUCCUUAGGAAGACGCUAAUGAUGAGCAACAUUCCUUGGGACACGCCGGAAAUCCAGAGGACACGAGUGGUGUCCCUUCAAAUGCAUGUAUCUUCCAAUAUGUAUUAUUUAACCUUAGUGAUUGUAUUUAUAGACACUUUGUGUUGCUUCUGUUUGUAGUUGCAGAAGUUUGAAGGAGUCAGGGUAGCUUCCAUAUCUGUAGUUAGGGCUGACGAUUGUGAUUUUGGGCCUGUACUGAAUAAUUUUGGGAGCGGCUGGGUAAUUACAAGCCAGGAGGACUGCAUGUGAUGAGUUCAGGGCUUAAGGCACAAGAAUAACUACGGCCAUUUUAGCUCCAACAGUAAGUACACAACCAAUCAACCAUGCAUUUUCACGACCCAGGUUUCUGAAUUCUGGCUGGCUGGCUCGCUGGCACAGCCACAUAAUCUCACACAUUCAAAUUGCUAGCUACACAAAAAAUGCCCAGAUCUACGAGUAGAAAUCCAAGGUAACACUUAGUGCCUACAAGCAUUUACUUCAUUUUUAUCUUCAUGUAAAAAGAGAAUGCAAGCUGAAAUAUACAGUCUGCAGAUUCCUCAUGUAUGUUCAAUUUUCAGAAUAGGAAGAACGAGACCGACAGCCCUUUAAUUAGAUUGGCUGAAGCAGCAUACAUACAUAUUACAAUUUUGCAUUUUAAAUUUGAAGACUAAGGCAACGACCGAUCGAUGUAAUUGGUGGUGAAUAUCUGUUUUCUUGUUUGUAUUUAAUCUUAGAAAACAGAAUCUCAUCAAGAGAAAAUCCGUAGGCAUUGCAGUCCAAUUAUUCUAGGGAUUGGAACCAGACAUGUGACUGAAUACUGCUUGGAACAUGUGAUUCUGCAAAGUUUGCGUACAUGCACCUUCUUGGAUGAUACAACUUCUCUAUGUUUGUACCUCCUCGUCAUUCAAAUUUUACAAACUUUAUGAAUAAAAAGUAGAAAGUAAUGUUCUCACUUCUCUUUUUAUGACCUUCAUUAUCUCAGUCUCAACAACAUCCAGGAGAUGUACCUAUGUAGCUACUGUUAGUUCAAAAGCUUUAUUUCACAAGUUGGCAAUACGAUAUUCAGGUAGUUAAGCAGGUGUUAUAGUUCUAAUUUACUUUUGUCUCAUAACACUUGGUCUCAUAAACAGUAGAGACUGUAGCCCAGUGUUGCUCAUUGCACACUUAUACUUAUUCUGAUUUUUGAUGGCCUCCUAAAUUUGAAUUAUUGUCUUGAUGUCAGGUGGAGGACCUUUGCAAUAUUAUCAAGCUUUAUGCCAAACUGGCACUCUUACUUGAUCCCGUAUUUACUCCUUCAAACAAUUUGUGCACAAAGUUGAGGAAGUUGGGGCCAAUAAUCAUGUUAGAAUAAACUUCUUUCUUCCUUUAACAGUUUGUUUCCAUAAUGUGGGACAGCAGGAUCCGCGUCCCACUAUGAGGGACCGACCUUCAGAGAUCAGCUACCGGCGUCAUACUGCCCCUGCAAGGCACCACAUGGAAGCCUCCUCUUUGAUUUUAGCAACAAUCACUCCCACUGACACCGCGGUGUGAGAAAAACACGAGCAUUCCUCUCCUUCCAAAUUUCCCACGAGAUAAGCAUCAUUAAAGAGCAUGAUAGUUCUUAUCUCCUCAAGUCUCAGAUCCAUUUUUAUCACCCUUUGGUAUGUUUCGUGGGGAUCUUUUUUAUUCAGCGCAUAAAUGUUGAUUCGUUCAUGUGUUUAGAAGUAAGAGGUGCAGCAUGCCAGGGUCCUCGAAGGAGAAAUAGAGCAGAGGAUCUUCUUAGCGAUUUGGAUGUACAGAGUUUAUGAUACAAAAACCUAUUUUAUUUUUGUACCGGCUAUUGAAUUUUCUCCUUUCUAUCUCUGAACCCUUUUGAUAUGUCCUUUACUCCUGAUUUCAGCCUUUUAAGGUAUGUUCUUCUUCCGGGAUUGCAGAGAGCAUGGAUCACCAUAUGGAAGGAGAUGCCAUCCUUACUGUCGUUGUCUUUGGCAUGUUGCUGCCAUCUUUCUAAUCCUUGCACUGUAGAUACCUCAGUCUAUCCAUGUAGAAUUUGUUUCAACUUGCCAUGUGUCCGUUCACCAACAGUACCGAGACCAUGCAACUUGGAACAUCAAAUACGUUGGAGACGUAUCAAGGAGGAAUGGUCGAACGAGGAGGAGGAGGACGACGACAGCAAUGAUGAUGACGACGGCUGCGGCGAUGUAAAGCCAAUGAUCAGCGGCAAGAAGCGUCGUCGCCGAGAUGAUGUUGCGGGCCAUCCAACAACAACAAUAAGAAGAAGAAGGACUAAAUUAAGUAGACUGUAUAUAUCUCUAUUUUUGUUAGCUCAUAUUAAUUCGUUAUCUCAAUUUCCCCUGUCAAUCUCAUCACAGACAAUUAGUAAUACGUAUUCGACAGAGAUGUUUUACAUUAUCGCCCACAUGUUGGUUUCUUGAAUUGUGUGCCCUAACGAGCACACAAUUAAAAAAAAAAGACCGUAUGGGCUGUCUAUAAUGAUCACACACAAUUC
Aegilops tauschii subsp. strangulata is the source of this 2687-nucleotide non-coding RNA. Lineage: Eukaryota; Viridiplantae; Streptophyta; Magnoliopsida; Poales; Poaceae. The record is from RefSeq and is a predicted model, not a curated record.